This 528-nucleotide ribosomal RNA is filed under the name uncultured bacterium. RNAcentral describes it as "bacterial SSU rRNA". It matches the Rfam family "Bacterial small subunit ribosomal RNA", at positions 777 to 1307 of the family's 1533-position model. The record is from RNAcentral.
AAUAGAUACCCAGGUAGUCCAUGCCGUAAACGUUGGGCACUAGGUGUGGGGCUCAUUCCACGAGUUCCGUGCCGCAGCUAACGCAUUAAGUGCCCCGCCUGGGGAGUACGGCCGCAAGGCUAAAACUCAAAGGAAUUGACGGGGGCCCGCACAAGCGGCGGAGCAUGCGGAUUAAUUCGAUGCAACGCGAAGAACCUUACCAAGGCUUGACAUGCACCGGAAACACUCAGAGAUGGGUGCCCCGUAAGGUCGGUGCACAGGUGGUGCAUGGUUGUCGUCAGCUCGUGUCGUGAGAUGUUGGGUUAAGUCCCGCAACGAGCGCAACCCUCGUCCUAUGUUGCCAGCGGGUUAUGCCGGGGACUCAUGGGAGACUGCCGGGGUCAACUCGGAGAAGGUGGGAUGACGUCAAAUCAUCAUGCCCCUUAUGUCUUGGGCUUCACGCAUGCUACAAUGGCCGGUACAGAGGGCUGCGAUACCGUAAGGUGGAGCGAAUCCCAAAAAGCCGGUCUCAGUUCGGAUUGGGGUCUG